Passer domesticus (house sparrow) is the source of this 837-nucleotide long non-coding RNA. RefSeq lists it as uncharacterized. The record is from RefSeq and is a predicted model, not a curated record. The transcript is spliced from 3 exons. Lineage: Eukaryota; Metazoa; Chordata; Aves; Passeriformes; Passeridae.
CAAAGAAACACAGGCCAGUAGUUCCUUCAGAGCAAUGCCAGCAGGAUUCUGCAGGCUGGUGGUGGCCAGCUCCACUCAGCUCUCUGGAGCCACAGGCUGGGAAAGCGAGGAAACCGUGGAAAGGUUUUGGCUAAAAGGAGGUGGUGAAGAGAAGAGGUGUAAGAACAGGGAGCAGACCAGUCUGACCUUCCCAAGGCCAGGGGUACAUGGGCAGUGCUUCAAGCAACAUUCAGUUUCCUAGACCCCAGGCAAAGGCUUUCCUGGCAGCCCAGGUCCCCCCGCUGCAGCCCACACAGCAAGGUGCUGGGCACCAAGAUAACAACCAACCUGGCAAGUCCCCUCCAGGUGCAGACACAGAAGACCACGAGCAGCAGAUAGAGAAUUCAGUGUUUUUCAGAGCCAGAAUUCAGCUUCCCACACCGCAACGUGAACCACUUGGAGAUGUCAAGCAGUCUAUUCAUUGCUGAGAUUGUAUUUUGAUGCUGCUCAGAGUUCCCAGACUUUGCCACAGGAAGAUGCCCAGCCCUCAGCUUCCAGAGAAAGGGACUGGACUUGGAGACUGACCUUGUCUUCAGUAUUUUAGGAACAUGUACUUGAAGAUCCUUCAAAGAAAAGCAUGAAAAGCACAGCUGAUGCCCACCUCAGGAAGGUCUUACUAUAUUCGUCUGUGUUUUCUUUAAUCAUUCUGAAAUUCAGCAUUUUCUGUAGUUCUUGUUUUCCAAUAAAGAUAUGGCAGAUAGCAAGAAAUUAUCUGCGUGGGUGCUGGAAGCUUCAGAGAUAUAAUGCACAGCAGCAAAGAAGGAAAGAGUGUCUCCACAUCUAAUUCCUUGGUCUGGA